This 1815-nucleotide unclassified non-coding RNA is filed under the name Leishmania donovani. RNAcentral describes it as "gene:unknown". Lineage: Eukaryota; Euglenozoa; Kinetoplastea; Trypanosomatida; Trypanosomatidae. The record is from RNAcentral.
AUCAAACACAUGUGCUACGGGGUCGGUGUGCCUGAGAAGUGUGCGUGACUACCAAUCUCGCCUCUCUGCUCCGCCCUCCUCCUCCUCUUCCCUCCCGCUGGCAGUCGGUGAGAUGAGCUCCGCCCUCCCUUGAAAGAGAAAGCUCAUCGUUGGACGACAUGUGCAACAAGGGCCAGUUGACACCCCACACUGUAUACGCCAUGCCGGCGUCCCCCUCGCACGCAUGCCGGACCGGCCCCGGUGGCGUUGUAAUCCGUGCAUGCACGCAACCCACCUGCGCAUGGACUCGUCAUCCUGGAUUAAGACGCCUUCAUUCCGUUGCUCGCCGAGUUCGAUGUGAGAACCUGAUGCCCUUCAAUCAGGACGGCACCACAGAGGUGUCAUUGGGGGACUCCGAUGGCUCACGUUGCUGCACCCCAACGCAGCCAUCAUGCGAUUCUUGCGAAGCGAAGGAGAUCGCCCCGGUGCGUGCAUUACGCAGCUCAAAAAGACAGGACGCAGCAGGCGCCUGCAAGUGGCGCUUCGAAAAGCUUCCCUACCUGGCGGGAGGAAGAGAAGCCGAGUGAAGAGAGCCGCCACCUUCUCUUGGAACGAGUUGAAAGUGAUCGGGGAGUCCCCAGCCCCACAUCGCCCUCCACGAGCCCCGGACUCGAGCUCCAGCACACCGAAGACAACGUGAGGAUUCUCAUCAGUGUCUCCUCGGCGGCGUACAAGACGCUGGCCAACGAGGCUGUGUCGGCUCGGGAAUGCCGCUUCAUCUUGCUAGAGGUGCGAGCUGAGAUUGCCAUACGUGGAACUAAGUUUACGGACGCCACGGAGCCUCUGCCGCCGUGUAAAGCGAGCAUGCGCUGCUGCGGCUACUGUCAUGGCCGUUAGUCACGCGUGCAACACAGCCGAAGGUUGUGUUGGCGGAUGCUUGGGGGGGGAGUGUCGGGCAGCGCAUGCAAGGCAUUCGGGGGCACCACCACGUGGCGGCAGAUACGCAGCCUGUGGUCCCGCGUAGCCGCAUGGUCGCGAGUGUCAGCGGCCCUCCGCCGAAGGAGCACACACAGCAGUGUUGCUCGCUCAUGCUACUGAAGCGUCGGUGCAGGCAAGGCACACGUGCGCUGGCCACAUCAUCAGCAUCUUCAGGAGGCUUGGCAGCUUCAAGGCGGGCUCUCACGCUGAUGGACACAGCACUCAGAGCGGAUGGCAAACCAGCUCUCCUCCAACGGGCGAGGCCGGUGAAGCGAAAAAUGACGUGCUCCCGAUGUGCGGCAGCACAGAACCCCCCCCACCCCCGGUGCGUUGUUUGCUGCUGCUCGCGUGAAAAACGGCGAGUCGAUGGCACAGGAUCCAGCGUCUCGAAUCACGGAGCAUUCGCUACCUGGCCAGCGAUGCGAUCAACCUGUACUUUGGUCCCGAGACCAAGACCAGCAAAACCUACCCGUAUCCACGCUGACCUGUUGUGUGCGCGAUACGCGGAGACGGAUCGGAGAUGCUGGCGCAGUUUCUGGUGACCGCAAGAAGAGGACAGCAGCCGAAGGAGAACAUGCAUGUGCUCCUCACACCUCGAAUACGCGACAUCUUGCUCCCGCACACGUACCCGGCUCACAGCCUUCUUGGGUUUGACACUCCUCGCCAUGCUCCUUGCUCAAGGAGUGCUUGCGAUGUGCUUUCUUCGCGCUGCCACUCGAAGUCCCUCUCGGGCUCUCUUUCGACUCUUGCGAGCGCAUUGGAGGCAGGCCCGCCCCGGCCCACCUCUCCACCAGGCCAGACAGGAAAGCCCAAAGGAUGGACGGUCCAGCACUCUUGCGAGUAGCGGAACAAACAAGA